CCUACGGGAGGCAGCAGUGGGGAAUAUUGGACAAUGGGGGGAACCCUGAUCCAGCCAUGCCGCGUGUGUGAAGAAGGCCCUCGGGUUGUAAAGCACUUUCAGUGAGGAAGAACGCCUGGUGGUUAAUACCCAUCAGGAAAGACAUCACUCACAGAAGAAGCACCGGCUAACUCCGUGCCAGCAGCCGCGGUAAUACGGAGGGUGCGAGCGUUAAUCGGAAUUACUGGGCGUAAAGCGCGCGUAGGUGGCUUGAUAAGCCGGUUGUGAAAGCCCCGGGCUCAACCUGGGAACGGCAUCCGGAACUGUCAAGCUAGAGUGCAGGAGAGGAAGGUAGAAUUCCCGGUGUAGCGGUGAAAUGCGUAGAGAUCGGGAGGAAUACCAGUGGCGAAGGGGGCCUUCUGGACUGACACUGACACUGAGGUGCGAAAGCGUGGGUAGCAAACAGGAUUAGAUACCCCAGUAGUC
Molecule: ribosomal RNA, 465 nt
Filed under: Vreelandella stevensii
Lineage: Bacteria; Pseudomonadati; Pseudomonadota; Gammaproteobacteria; Oceanospirillales; Halomonadaceae
Description: partial 16S ribosomal RNA
Rfam family: Bacterial small subunit ribosomal RNA
Source: RNAcentral